GACGAACGCUGGCGGCGUGCUUAACACAUGCAAGUCGUACGGUAAGGCCCUUUCGGGGGUACACGAGUGGCGAACGGGUGAGUAACACGUGAGUAACCUGCCCACAACUUUGGGAUAACGCUAGGAAACUGGUGCUAAUACUGGAUAUGUGCUCCUGCUGCAUGGUGGGGGUUGGAAAGCUCCGGCGGUUGUGGAUGGACUCGCGGCCUAUCAGCUUGUUGGUGGGGUAGUGGCCUACCAAGGCGGCGACGGGUAGCCGGCCUGAGAGGGUGACCGGCCACAUUGGGACUGGGAUACGGCCCAGACUCCUACGGGAGGCAGCAGUGGAGAAUAUUGCACAAUGGGCGCAAGCCUGAUGCAGCAACGCCGCGUGCGGGAUGACGGCCUUCGGGUUGUAAACCGCUUUCAGCAGGGACGAAGCUUUUUGUGACGGUACCUGCAGAAGAAGCACCGGCUAACUACGUG
Molecule: ribosomal RNA, 465 nt
Filed under: uncultured bacterium
Lineage: Bacteria
Description: partial 16S ribosomal RNA
Rfam family: Bacterial small subunit ribosomal RNA
Source: RNAcentral